UUGAUCCCAGCUCAGGAUGAACGCUAGCGGUGCGCCUAACACAUGUAAGUCGUGCGAUCGAGCCGAACUGAGUUUCCUUCGGGAGACGAUGAUUGGUGACGGAGCGGCGGACGGGUGAGUAACGCGUGGCUAACCUACCCUCUUGACGGGGACAACCACUCGAAAGGGUGGCUAAUACCCGAUAUUGUCUGGAACCGAUGGGUUCCUUUCCAAAGGCGGUCUUGCCGCCGCAAGGGGAUGGGGCUGCGUCCUAUUAGCUAGUUGGUGAGGUAACGGCCCACCAAGGCUUCGAUGGGUAGCUGGUCUGAGAGGACGGCCAGCCACAUUGGGACUGAGAUACGGCCCAGACUCCUACGGGAGGCAGCAGUGGGGAAUCUUGGCCAAUGGACGAAAGUCUGAGCCAGCGACACCGCGUGGGGGAUGACGGCCUUCGGGUUGUAAACCUCUUUUCUGGGGAAAGAAUAAGGACGGGAGGAAAUGCCCGCCCGAUGACGGUACUCCAGGAAUAAGCAUCGGCUAACUCUGUGCCAGCAGCCGCGGUAAGACAGAGGAUGCGAGCGUUAUCCGGAAUUACUGGGCGUAAAGGGCGUCUAGGCGGUUCGGUAAGUCGUUUGUGAAAUCCCUCGGCUCAACCGAGGAGGGUCUUGCGAUACUGCCGAGCUUGGGUGCAGGAGAGGAGGGUGGAACUCACAGAGUAGCGGUGGAAUGCGUAGAUACUGUGAGGUACCCCGAUGGCGAAGGCAACCCUCUGGCCUGCUACCGACGCUGAAGCGCGAAAGCGUGGGGAGCAAAGGGGAUUAGAUACCCCCGUAGUCCACGCCCUAAACAAUGUUCACUUGGUGUCGGCCGCUCAUACUGGUCGGUGCCGAAGCUAACGCGUUAAGUGAACCGCCUGAGGAGUACGGCCGCAAGGCUAAAACUCAAGAGAAUUGACGGGUCCCUGCACAAGCGGUGGAGCACGUGGUUUAAUUCGAUCGAUAAACGAAGAACCUCACCCAGGCUUGACAUACUAGUGGUAGGAACCUGAAAGGGAGACGACCCUGCCUUCGGGUAGGGAGCUAGUACAGGUGAUGCAUGGCUGUCGUCAGCUCGUGUCGUGGGAUGUUGGGUUCAGUCCCGAAACGAGCGCAACCCUUGUCGUUAGUUGCCAGCGGGUAAUGCCGGGGACUCUAACGAGACUGCUGGUGAAUAGCCGGAGGAAGGCGGGGAUGACGUCAAGUCAUCAUGUCCCUUACGCCUGGGGCGACACACAUGCUACAAUGGGGGGUACAGAGGGUCGCAAUCCCGUAAGGGGGAGCCAAUCCAUAAAAGCCCCUCUCAGUUCGGAUUGAGGUCUGCAACUCGACCUCAUGAAGCCGGAAUCGCUAGUAAUCGCGGGUCAGCCAUACCGCGGUGAAUAUGUACUCAGGGAUUGUACACACCGCCCGUCACACCAACCGAGUGGGGGGUACCUGAAGUCGCUCUUCUGAGGGCGCCUAAGGUAACUUCCGCAAGAGGGGUGAAGUCGUAACAAGGUA
Molecule: ribosomal RNA, 1517 nt
Filed under: metagenome
Description: bacterial SSU rRNA
Rfam family: Bacterial small subunit ribosomal RNA
Source: RNAcentral